UCAAGUAAUUAAGUGCAUGUGGUGGAUGCCUUGGCAGUCAGAGGCGAUGAAAGACGUGAUAGCCUGCGAAAAGCUCCGGGGAGGCGGCAAAUAUCCUUUGAUCCGGAGAUGUCUGAAUGGGGGAACCCACCUACUUUAAGGUAGGUAUUGCAACAUGAAUACAUAGUGUUGCAAGGCGAACGAGGGGAAGUGAAACAUCUCAGUACCCUUAGGAAAAGAAAUCAAUUGAGAUUCCCUCAGUAGCGGCGAGCGAACGGGGAUCAGCCCAUUAAGUUAUGUGUGUUUUAGUGGAACGCUCUGGGAAGUGCGAACGUAGAGGGUGAUAUUCCCGUACACGAAAGGGCACACAUAAUGAUGACGAGUAGGGCGAGGCACGUGAAACCUUGUCUGAAUAUGGGGGGACCAUCCUCCAAGGCUAAAUACUCCUGACUGACCGAUAGUGAACCAGUACCGUGAGGGAAAGGCGAAAAGAACCCCUGUGAGGGGAGUGAAAUAGAUCCUGAAACCGCAUGCAUACAAGCAGUGGGAGCACCUUCGUGGUGUGACUGCGUACCUUUUGUAUAAUGGGUCAGCGACUUAUAUUCAGUAGCGAGGUUAACCGUAUAGGGGAGCCGUAGAGAAAUCGAGUCUUAAUAGGGCGUUUAGUUGCUGGGUAUAGACCCGAAACCAGGCGAUCUAUCCAUGAGCAGGUUGAAGGUUGGGUAACACUAACUGGAGGACCGAACCCACUGUCGUUGAAAAGCCAGGGGAUGACUUGUGGAUAGGGGUGAAAGGCUAAUCAAGCCUGGUGAUAGCUGGUUCUCCCCGAAAGCUAUUUAGGUAGCGCCUCGGACGAAUACCAUAGGGGGUAGAGCACUGUUUCGGCUAGGGGGUCAUCCCGACUUACCAAACCGAUGCAAACUCCGAAUACCUAUGAGUACUAUCCGGGAGACAGACUGCGGGUGCUAACGUCCGUAGUCAAGAGGAAAACAAUCCAGACCGCCAGCUAAGGCCCCAAAAUCAUAGUUAAGUGGGAAACGAUGUGGGAAGGCAUAGACAGCUAGGAGGUUGGCUUAGAAGCAGCCACCCUUUAAAGAAAGCGUAAUAGCUCACUAGUCGAGUCGGCCUGCGCGGAAGAUGUAACGGGGCUAAAACUAUGUGCCGAAGCUGCGGAUGUAUACUUUGUAUACGUGGUAGGGGAGCGUUCUGUAAGCCGAUGAAGGUGUGUUGAGAAGCAUGCUGGAGGUAUCAGAAGUGCGAAUGCUGACGUGAGUAACGACAAAACGGGUGAAAAACCCGUUCGCCGAAAGACCAAGGGUUCCAGUCCAACGUUAAUCGGGGCUGGGUGAGUCGACCCCUAAGGCGAGGCCGAAAGGCGUAGUCGAUGGGAAAAUGGUUAAUAUUCCAUUACUUCUGUGUAAUGCGAUGAGAGGACGGAGAAGGCUAAAUCAGCCUGGCGUUGGUUGUCCAGGUGAAAGGAUGUAGGCAUGUAUCUUAGGCAAAUCCGGGGUACUCUAUGCUGAGAUCUGAUAGCAAGCUGUACUUGUACAGCGAAGUGGUUGAUGCCAUGCUUCCAGGAAAAGUCUCUAAGCUUCAGUUACACAGGAAUCGUACCCGAAACCGACACAGGUGGUCAGGUCGAGUAGACCAAGGCGCUUGAGAGAACUCUGCUGAAGGAACUAGGCAAAAUGGUACCGUAACUUCGGGAGAAGGUACGCUGUUGUUGGUGAUGGAACUCGCUUCCUGAGCUGACGACAGCCGCAGAAACCAGGCCGCUGCAACUGUUUAUUAAAAACAUAGCACUCUGCAAACACGAAAGUGGACGUAUAGGGUGUGAUGCCUGCCCGGUGCUGGAAGGUUAAUUGAUGGGGUUAGCGUAAGCGAAGCUCUUGAUCGAAGCCCCAGUAAACGGCGGCCGUAACUAUAACGGUCCUAAGGUAGCGAAAUUCCUUGUCGGGUAAGUUCCGACCUGCACGAAUGGCAUAAUGAUGGCGGCGCUGUCUCCAGCAGAGGCUCAGUGAAAUCGAAAUCGCUGUGAAGAUGCAGUGUACCCGCGGCUAGACGGAAAGACCCCGUGAACCUUUACUGCAGCUUGACACUGAACUUUGACCUUACUUGUGUAGGAUAGGUGGGAGGCUUUGAAGCUGGAACGCUAGUUCCAGUGGAGCCGUCCUUGAAAUACCACCCUGGUAAUGUUGAGGUUCUAACUCUGUCCCGUGAUCCGGGACGAGGACCGUGUCUGGUGGGUAGUUUGACUGGGGCGGUCUCCUCCUAAAGAGUAACGGAGGAGUACGAAGGUGCGCUCAGCGUGGUCGGAAAUCACGCGUAGAGUAUAAAGGCAAAAGCGCGCUUAACUGCGAGACCCACAAGUCGAGCAGGUACGAAAGUAGGUCUUAGUGAUCCGGUGGUUCUGUAUGGAAGGGCCAUCGCUCAACGGAUAAAAGGUACUCUGGGGAUAACAGGCUGAUACCGCCCAAGAGUUCAUAUC
Molecule: ribosomal RNA, 2467 nt
Filed under: Acinetobacter baumannii 26016_10
Lineage: Bacteria; Pseudomonadati; Pseudomonadota; Gammaproteobacteria; Moraxellales; Moraxellaceae
Description: bacterial LSU rRNA
Rfam family: Bacterial large subunit ribosomal RNA
Source: RNAcentral